RNAcentral lists this ribosomal RNA (480 nucleotides) under uncultured bacterium. Its description in RNAcentral is "partial 16S ribosomal RNA". It matches the Rfam family "Bacterial small subunit ribosomal RNA", at positions 28 to 507 of the family's 1533-position model. The record is from RNAcentral.
GACGAACGCUGGCGGGGUGCUUAACACAUGCAAGUCGAACGAUGAAGAAAAGAAUUGAAGCUUCGGCAGAAAUUCAUUUCGGAUUAGUGGCAGACGGGUGAGUAACGCGUGAGCAACCUACCUCUUACAAAGGGAUAGCCUCGGGAAACCGGGAUUAAUACCAUAUAACAUUGCGACGAAGCAUUUCGAUGCAAUCAAAGCUACGGCGGUAAGAGAUGGGCUCGCGUCCCAUUAACCAGAUGGUGAGGUAACGGCUCACCAUAGUAACGAUGGGUAACCGGCCUGAGAGGGUGAACGGUCACACUGGAACUGAGACACGGUCCAGACUCCUACGGGAGGCAGCAGUGGGGAAUAUUGCACAAUGGAGGGAACUCUGAUGCAGCGACGCCGCGUGAGUGAUGAAGGAAUUCGUUUCGUAAAACUCUGUUCUAUGGGAAGAAAAGGACUGUACCAUAGGAGAAAGCUCCGGCUAAAUACGUG